GAGGAGCUGUCCUUAGUACGAGAGGACCGGGAUGGACGUACCGCUGGUGCACCAGUUGUUCCGCCAGGAGCAUGGCUGGGUAGCUACGUACGGACGGGAUAAGCGCUGAAAGCAUCUAAGCGUGAAGCCCCCCUCAAGAUGAGAUUUCCCAAUUAGUAAGACCCCUUGAAGACGACGAGGUAGAUAGGUUGGAGGUGGAAGUGCAGCAAUGCAUGGAGCUGACCAAUACUAAUCGGUCGAGGGCUUAUCCAA
RNAcentral lists this ribosomal RNA (252 nucleotides) under Paenibacillus typhae. Its description in RNAcentral is "23S rRNA. Bacterial LSU". It matches the Rfam family "Bacterial large subunit ribosomal RNA", at positions 2666 to 2925 of the family's 2925-position model. Lineage: Bacteria; Bacillati; Bacillota; Bacilli; Caryophanales; Paenibacillaceae. The record is from RNAcentral.